Molecule: ribosomal RNA, 1241 nt
Filed under: metagenome
Description: bacterial LSU rRNA
Rfam family: Bacterial large subunit ribosomal RNA
Source: RNAcentral
CGAAUACCAGACGCUACGGCGUUGAAGCAGUCUAUGUCAUACUUCCAAGAAAAGCUCGCAAGGUCAUAAACAAAUAAUGCCUGUACCAUAACCGACACAGGUGGGUAGGUAGAGUAUACUAAGGGGCGCGAGAUAACUCUCUCUAAGGAACUCGGCAAAAUGACUCCGUAACUUCGGGAGAAGGAGUACCUUAUUUAUAAGGUUGCAAUAACAAGAUCCAAGCAACUGUUUAUCAAAAACACAGGUCUCCGCUAAGUCGUAAGACGAUGUAUGGGGGCUGACGCCUGCCCAGUGCCAGAAGGUUAAAGAAGUUGGUUAGCAAUUGCAAAGCUGAUAACUGAAGCCCUGGUGAACGGCGGCCGUAACUAUAACGGUCCUAAGGUAGCGAAAUUCCUUGUCGGGUAAGUUCCGACCCGCACGAAAGGCGUAAUGAUUUGGAUACUGUCUCAGAGAGGGGCUCGGUGAAAUAGACUUGUCUGUGAAGAUGCGGACUACCUGCACCUGGACAGAAAGACCCUAUGAAGCUUUACUGUAACUUGAAAUUGAAACUGGACUUUACUUGCGCAGGAUAGGUGGGAGGUGUUGAAAAUAUUUUUGCGGAAAUAUUGGAGCUGUCAGUGAGAUACCACUCCUGUAAUGUUAGGUUUCUAACUUGGAAUCAUAACCUGGUCCAAGAACAGUUUCAGGCGGGCAGUUUGACUGGGGCGGUCGCCUCCUAAACGGUAACGGAGGCGUACAAAGGUUUCCUCUGAACGGGUAGAAAUCGUAUCUAGAGUGUAAAGGCAUAAGGAAGCUUGACUGUGAGACCUACUAGUCGAGCAGGGACGAAAGUCGGUCUUAGUGAUCUGACGGUGCUGAGUGGAAAGGCCGUCACUCAACGGAUAAAAGUUACUCUAGGAUAACAGGCUGAUCUCCCCCAAGAGUUCACAUCGACGGGGAGGUUUGGCGCCUCGAUGUCGGCUCAUCGCGUCCUGGGGCGGUAGUACGUCCCAAGGGUUGGGCUGUUCGCCCAUGAAAGCGGUACGCGAGCUGGGUUCAGAACGUCGUGAGACAGUUCGGUCCAUAUCCGGUGUAGGCGUUAGAAUAUUGAGAGGAGCCUUCUUUAGUACGAGAGGACCGAGAAGGACACACCUAUGGUGUACCAGUUAUCGUGCCAACGGUAAACGCUGGGUAGCUACGUGUGGAGUGGAUAACCGCUGAAAGCAUCUAAGUGGGAAGCCCACCUCAAGAUUAGUAUUCUC